GACGAACGCUGGCGGCGUGCCUAAUACAUGCAAGUCGAGCGCAGGAAAUCGACGGAACCCUUCGGGGGGAAGUCGACGGAAUGAGCGGCGGACGGGUGAGUAACACGUAAAGAACCUGCCCUCAGGUCUGGGAUAACCACGAGAAAUCGGGGCUAAUACCGGAUGGGUCAUCGGACCGCAUGGUCCGAGGAUGAAAGGCGCUUCGGCGUCGCCUGGGGAUGGCUUUGCGGUGCAUUAGCUAGUUGGUGGGGUAAUGGCCCACCAAGGCGACGAUGCCUAGCCGACCUGAGAGGGGGAUCCGCCACACUAGGACUGAGACACGGCCCAGACUCCUACGGGAGGCAGCAGUAGGGAAUCUUCCACAAUGGACGAAAGUCUGAUGGAGCAACGCCGCGUGAACGAUGAAGGCCUUCGGGUCGUAAAGUUCUGUUGUAAGGGAAGAACAAGUGCCGCAGGCAAUGGCGGCACCUUGACGGUACCUUGCGAGAAAGCCACGGCUAACUACGUGCCAGCAGCCGCGGUAA
RNAcentral lists this ribosomal RNA (524 nucleotides) under uncultured bacterium. Its description in RNAcentral is "partial 16S ribosomal RNA". It matches the Rfam family "Bacterial small subunit ribosomal RNA", at positions 28 to 523 of the family's 1533-position model. The record is from RNAcentral.